UGGGGAAUAUUGCACAAUGGGGGAAACCCUGAUGCAGCGACGCCGCGUGAGCGAUGAAGGCUUUCGAGUCGUAAAGCUCUGUCCUAUGAGAAGAUAAUGACGGUAUCAUAGGAGGAAGCCCUGGCUAAAUACGUGCCAGCAGCCGCGGUAAUACGUAUGGGGCGAGCGUUGUCCGGAAUUAUUGGGCGUAAAGGGUACGUAGGCGGUUUUUUAAGUCAGGUGUCAAAGCGUGGAGCUUAACUCCAUUAAGCACUUGAAACUGAAAGACUUGAGUGAAGGAGAGGAAAGUGGAAUUCCUAGUGUAGCGGUGAAAUGCGUAGAUAUUAGGAGGAAUACCGGUGGCGAAGGCGACUUUCUGGACUUUUACUGACGCUCAGGUACGAAAGCGUGGGGAGCAAACAGG
Molecule: ribosomal RNA, 403 nt
Filed under: Verrucomicrobiota bacterium
Lineage: Bacteria; Pseudomonadati; Verrucomicrobiota
Description: Verrucomicrobia bacterium partial 16S ribosomal RNA
Rfam family: Bacterial small subunit ribosomal RNA
Source: RNAcentral